GUCGGGAAUAUUGGGCAAUGGAGGCAACUCUGACCCAGCCAUGCCGUGUGCAGGAUGACGGCCCUCUGGGUUGUAAACUGCUUUUAUACGGGAAGAAAAAAUACUACGUGUAGUAUACUGACGGUACCGUAAGAAUAAGGAUCGGCUACCUCCGUGCCAGCAGCCGCGGUAAUACGGAGGAUCCAAGCGUUGUCCGGAUUUAUUGGGUUUAAAGGGUGCGUAGGCGGAUCUUUAAGUCAGUGGUGAAAGCCUGCAGCUUAACUGUAGUAUUGCCAUUGAAACUGAAGAUCUUGAAUGUGGUUAAAGUAGGCGGAAUGUAUCAUGUAGCGGUGAUAUGCUUAGAUAUGAUACAGAACACCGAUAGCGAAGGCAGCUUGCUGAACCAUUAUUGACGCUGAGGCACGAAAGCGUGGGGAGCGAACAGGAUUAGAAACCCCGGUAGUCC
This 445-nucleotide ribosomal RNA is filed under the name uncultured bacterium. RNAcentral describes it as "partial 16S ribosomal RNA". It matches the Rfam family "Bacterial small subunit ribosomal RNA", at positions 354 to 796 of the family's 1533-position model. The record is from RNAcentral.